This 546-nucleotide ribosomal RNA is filed under the name uncultured archaeon. Its description in RNAcentral is "bacterial SSU rRNA". It matches the Rfam family "Archaeal small subunit ribosomal RNA", at positions 330 to 879 of the family's 1478-position model. The record is from RNAcentral.
GUGCCCAGGCGCGAAAACUUUGCAAUACACGAAAGUGUGACAGGGCUAUCCCGAGUGCCAUCCGCUGAGGAAGGCUUUUACCCAGUCUAGAACGCUGGGGGAAUAAGGAGAGGGCAAGUCUGGUGUCAGCCGCCGCGGUAAUACCAGCUCUCCGAGUGGUGUGGAUGUUUAUUGGGCCUAAAGCAUCCGUAGCUGGCUAAGUUAGUCCCUUGUUAAAUCCACCGAAUUAAUCGUUGGAUUGCGGGGGAUACUGCUUGGCUAGGGGACGAGAGAGGCAGACGGUAUUUCCGGGGUAGGGGUGAAAUCCUAUAAUCCCGGGAAGACCACCAGUGGCGAAGGCUGUCUGCUAGAACGCGCCCGACGGUGAGGGAUGAAAGCUGGGGGAGCGAACCGGAUUAGAUACCCGGGUAGUCCCAGCUGUAAACGAUGCAGGCUAGGUGUUUGGACGGCCACGUGCCGUUCUAGUGCCGCAGGGAAGCUGUUAAGCCUGCCGCCUGGGGAGUACGAUCGCAAGAUUGAAACUUAAAGGAAUUGGCGGAGGAGCAC